CAGCAGCCGCGGUAAUUCCAGCUCCCAAUAGCGUAUAUUAAAGUGGUNNCCGUNAAAAAGCUNGUANUUGAACCUUGGACCUGGCUGAUCUGUCCUCCUANUCGAGCGCACGGAUUCGGUCGGGUCUUUCCUUNUGGGGANCCCUAUGCCCUUCACUGGGUGUAGUGGNAAANCAGGNCUUUUACCUNGAAAAAAUUAGAGUGUUCAAAGCAGGCCUUUGCUCGAAUACAUUAGCAUGGAAUAAUAGAAUAGGACAUCGGUUCUAUUUUGUUGGUUUNUAGGACCGCUGUAAUGAUUAAUAGGGAUAGUCGGGGGCGUCAGUAUUCAANUGUCAGAGGNGAAAUUCUUGGAUUUAUNGAAGACUAACUACUGCGAAAGCAUUCGCCAAGGAUGUUUUCAUUAAUCAGUGAACGAAAGUUAGGGGAUCGAAGACGAUCAGAUACCGUCGUAGUCUUAACCAUAAACUAUGCCGACUNNUUAUAAAGGCGGUGGUUUUUUUAUGCCCCG
RNAcentral lists this ribosomal RNA (507 nucleotides) under uncultured fungus. Its description in RNAcentral is "partial small subunit ribosomal RNA". It matches the Rfam family "Eukaryotic small subunit ribosomal RNA", at positions 568 to 1078 of the family's 1831-position model. The record is from RNAcentral. Lineage: Eukaryota; Fungi.